This 253-nucleotide ribosomal RNA is filed under the name uncultured bacterium. RNAcentral's name for it is "partial 16S ribosomal RNA". It matches the Rfam family "Bacterial small subunit ribosomal RNA", at positions 524 to 776 of the family's 1533-position model. The record is from RNAcentral.
CACGAAGGGCGCAAGCUUUGUUCGGAAUCACUGGGCGUAAAGCGCGUGUAGGCGGCUUUGCAUGUCGCUUGUGAAAUCCCGAGGCUCAACCUCGGAACUGCACUCGAUACUGCUUGGCUCGAGUCCCGGAGAGGGUGGCGGAAUUCCCGGUGUAGGGGUGGAAUCCGUAGAUAUCGGGAGGAACAUCAGUGGCGAAGGCGGCCACCUGGACGGUGACUGACGCUGAGACGCGAAAGCGUGGGGAGCAAACAGG